Xyrichtys novacula (pearly razorfish) is the source of this 24812-nucleotide non-coding RNA. The record is from the annotation of a GenBank genome assembly. Lineage: Eukaryota; Metazoa; Chordata; Actinopteri; Labriformes; Labridae.
CCAAAGGCAGUGGGGAGGAGAGCUCGGCGUUUUGUGGUAAGUGUCUGUGUGUUACAUGUGAACGUGUGUGUAGAACGACGAGUGUGCACUCUCAUUCGAACUACAAGACUUGUGGAGAUGUGAAUAAGUUUGUUACUUGUGACUGCUGUGGGGGACCAGGAGGGAAAGUUUGGCGUAUGGUGUGUCGCGUGUAGCAUGUAGCGUGUGCGAUCGCCUCGCGUGUUUGUGCGCUAGCUAGCGUUGUGUCGUUCGCGAACGAUUCAUUCAAAGGAACCGAAUCUUUUAAGUGACUGUACUGAACCGAAUCACUUCCUCGAGGGAUUCGUUCGUUUCUCACUUCAGUUGAGCUGAGGUGAAAAACAGCAUUGCCAGUUGAGCAACCGGAGAAUGAGGGACCACAUGCACCGACAACUGAAUCACUUUGUGAAUAAAUCAUGCAUUGAGCUACACUCUCUGGAAUAAUUUUUCUUGGACAAAACUACCCUCCCUUUUUUUUCAGUGCUAAAUUGCCAUCACAACAACUUGCAUACAAUAGGACACAGCAUGUAACAAGCAGUGCAUUAAACCCACAGCAUCCUAUCAUUACAGCGGUUUGUGAGAGAACGAUGCAUGUUCAGUUUGAAUUCCUCUAAACAUUCAAUGACCGAAUCACCCACUGAGCCCAGUUUACCGAGCAGACCUGAUAGAUAGCAUACCGUAGGACAUUACACUUUAAACAUCAUGACUUCUAAACAAGUUAAUUUUUACAAACCUGUUUGCCAAAACAACACAGCCAAACACUCUUGUCUCCCAGUCCCAGAAGCUUUGAAUUGAACUGAAUCCUGAAACGUUCAGCUGUGUAUCAGUUCAGGAGGUCAGAGAUGCAGGCUUCUGCUGACAAGCGCUUUUGAACAAAUCUUUCUAGUGAACUGAUUCUAGUAAUUCAGUACAUCCAAAAGAAUUGCUUUGUCCAUCACUAGCACUAGCUACACUCAGUGACAGGGCCUCUCCCUCAUACACAUUUUAAGUGUAAUGCACAUGCCCAAAGUGGAGCAUGACUUAAGCAUUUUCAUAAAAAAUCCCAGCUCGCUGUUGACAAUGGUGGCUUGGAUGUUCCAGAAAUAUCCCAAGCUUGGAGGGCGUUUUUGAAAGUUACCAUUUUAGGUUGGCUAAAACACCAUUUCUGUUACCAUAUAUAUCAUAAAUAUUUAGUUUUCACAAGAAAUAAUAAGUCGUUAUCACAACAUGGCAGUGCAUUAAAAAAAAAAGAAAAUCCAUGUCUGUUCUAGCCUUCCGUACUGAAUAUCCAUCUGAAAGACAUCUCUUCCAGCUGUUUCGUCUGUAUAACCUAAAACAAAAUGGAGGUCCUCAUGACUCGUUUUUUUUCCAGCCUCUAUAUUUAGGAUGAAUUUUUGCUGAGACUCCUUGGUUGUCUUUGUGGAAAGCUUGUUAACAUAUCUUUCUUUUCAAUAAGCAUCAAGCAAGAUAACUGGUCUAUUUAUUAGACUUAUCAAAGUGAAAUGUAAAAAUAAUAUUGCUGCUCUCCAGAGAUUUUAAGAACCUUCAAAUAUCCUUCAGUUUAUUGUUCUUGGGUUACAGUCACAGCUUUAUGAAUAUGUUUUAGGAGGCAGUGAUCCUCACAAAAGUAAUAGCGACAGCAAGCAGCUGCCUUCACUGUCAAUUACUAAUAAUCACAUCCAACCUUGAGCUGAUAAAUAAAUCUCAGCAUCAAAGUUAGUGUGUGUGUGUGUGUGUGUGUGAGUGUGUGUGUGUGUGUGAGUGUUUCCACUUUGAUUGUAAGACACGAGCCCAAUCCAGAUUUAGCCUCCAUGACGUCUGUCCUAGUUAUUACCUAAAAGACGCCCUGAUUUUGUCCCAGCUGGGUGUUUGUGGUGUUGAAGUUUGCACAGCAAAUAUCCUUGGCAGUGCUGGUGUUGUGCACAUGUCUGAGUGUGUGGGAAAGAUGUCGAUCCACAGUCUCUUUGACACUUGGAUUUAAGUGUGAUGAGCCCACACCUGGUGGGAUAAUGAGUUUCUGGACUUGUUGGUAAGACGAUGGCGAAAAUCUCUCCUCGCUUUCACUGAGUUCAUGUAAAGAACAGUGAAAAUGUCUCAGGAGAAUGACUCAACUGUCUGUACACAUAAGAGUCUUUCUGUGUAUAUGUGGUUUAUUUGAGCGAGUGUGUGUUUGUGUUUCCAAAGUACAUGUGUACCUCUGUGAGUAAGAACAGUUUGUUCAGUCUGUGCUCUGCUGUAUUAGCUAUCCGUGUGUGCAUGCAUGCCUGUAUGUGUGUUUACGUGACAGAUCUAAUUUACAUGCUGAAGUGAACACUUUUCUGCACUUACCGGUAAUGUGUGAGGGUGUAGGUGUUUAAAUGUGUGUCAUAAGUACCCGGAAUCAAAGUUAGAUAGCCGUAUAACAGACAGUUGUGUUUUUUUUUAGUCCCGCUCUGAGACCAUAUCAGCAUAGUAAUCAUUGCACACCAGACAGAGCCUUUAACAAUUUAAUGUUGUGUGCAGAAUAGAGACGGGAAUCGGCGCGUGAGGGGAGGAGCAGAUGGAGAAGUGCAGUGCUACCCAGCUGAGCUGAAGCUUACACUUCUACAACCAGAGGAAAGGAUGCCUGUGAAAAGGAGUUACGGAGAGGGACAGAUAAACACUAUAAAAGACAAAGACUAUACGAUCAGUAUACGUCAGUUUAAGUCAGGGGUUUACAAGAGGAAUUAUAUGGCACACAUCACAUUAUUACAUAUUGUAAAUAAAUAUCUACAACUCUGUCCAUAUCAGGGGAAGACAGCUGUGAGCCACUGUCCACAGAAUCCUACGAAACAUUGAUUUUAGACACGUUGGGUGCCUAUGGUCUGGCACUCUAAGCACUCCACGUCAGCCCAGACCCUCUACUUCAUUUCUUCCCCUGUUCUAUGCUCCCUACAUUUCUUAUAUCUUCGGUUGACUUGUCUGCCCAAAAUAUAACCUUAAACUUUUUAGACAUUUGUCAUGACAAAAAUAAUAAUUGUGUCUGUUUAAAUCUGUGCUCAAUUUUUUGUCGAUUCAGUCAGGAGCAUCAAAAGAAUUCAUUACUUCAGAAGGGCAGGAGACUAGAGAAAAUACUAUCGAAACAUAGUCCAUUUACAAAUGUAUAUAUGAUAUUGAUAAGAUCAGGUGCAGCAAAGAAGGAGGAGCUGAAAUGGAGGUGGGUUGCAAAGCAGUUGAUGAUAAGGCAGACUAGAGCAGUUUGAAUAAAGCACCCACGCUGACAUUUUCACCUGGAAGUGAGGAAGGUAAUCUACUCAGCUGUCAGCUGAUGCGGACUGGAGUUAGGAUCAACUGAUGUAUAGUGGAUUGAUAUUGACUUUGGUGUCCUGCCUGAACAAACUACAUGCUCAAUUUCCCAAUACUUGUUGUGUAUACAACUUGAGCUGUGAAGAUGUUGAAUAUUAAGAAUUGUUCACUGCCUUUAUCAGACGAUUUAGUCCAGAUAAGUUUCCGCUCGCUUUGAGACUGGCAUUUUUAAGACAGAGUGUUUCUGCUACUUCCAAAGGCAUUUCUAUCUAGAGAACUUGAGUGUAUUUUCAGAGACUGUCCGGAUCCAAUCCAUCAAGAAUGAAAGCAGUCUAAGAUGAUUUAUGUUUAAAUUUGUUGUGAAAUAGUUGUUGAUUUGUUUAUCAUAUUGUUUGCUGGCUAGGCAGAUGCUGCCAUCUUUGUUAUGGCUGAUUGACCAAUAAGAGGCUAUUUCUACAAUCAGCUUAAAUGUUCAGUACAGCACAGAAGUACAACAGACAGAACUGUUUUAAGUGUUCGGCUUAUUCUAGUAUAAUUAAAUCUAUGCUCUUUCUGUAUCACUGCUCUCAGAAUGCACCACUGACUUUGCACAAAGGAGUCAGAUGAUACAGUCAUUUCUUUCAGGGAGCAGGGUUUUUCAUCUGUGAUAUCUAUAGUGCUCACUUUCCCCUCAUCGCCAAGACAAAGAAAAACCCAUUUUGGAGGCUAAAAGUAUUAAUUCACUGUUUUACAGUUAAUUUCAUGUGAAAAUGUAUUUGGAAUUUUCUCUCUGGUGAAAUUAUACAUGCCUAGUAUUUACACAAAGAAACCAGGCGUCAGAAAAAAAAUUGGAAAAGUGCCUUUUACCCCAGGUGGUUAAAAGGGUUUUGGCGCAGGACUUCUUGUCAGGAAAUGUUGUUGACUCGUGAUCUGCUCGUGUAAACAGCUAACAGUUGGUGCAAAUGGCUUGUUGUUGACUUUGCAUUAGUAAUGAAAGGGAAAUGUCUCUGUUCAUGAACAGAAAAUGCUAAAAAUUGAUGUUGUACACUUGUAUAUUGUACAGAGCUGUGUUUAACUUUUCAGCCCCAUCACCAUCUCAGCCUUUAGGGUUUCUGGUAAUGUCUCAUUGUUCAGGUCAGAGCCAACAUUUGCUGCUGCAAGAAACAGUAUAAAGUAUGAAAAAUGAGCUGUAUGACUAAAAUGUUUUUGGUGUUAGCUUUGCUAACAUAUAGAGGUACUCUUUAAUAAGAGUACAGCAGGAUGAAGCUCAAUAGUUGCAGACAAACCUUCACUGGAUUUGAAUUGUCUGAUCAUUGUGUGUGGGCUGUUGAUAUUUACCUGCAGUACACCUGCACAUCAAUCCAAGCCUAGUACCAUACAACAAAACUCAGUCUGAUUGACAUGGUAACAGAACACUUAGGCCUUAAAGCGCUCAGGUCAGAUUAUGUUUUGAGAGCUUUCUAACCUAAACAAUGAAAAUGCUGAAAUGCUCCACAGAGAACUGACGAUUGGUUCUCUGGGCUAUUCACCUCAAAUUAUUAAUUUAACAUAGCACAUUGUUUAACAUAGAAAAUCUUAUGAGUUAUGUGCAUAAGAGAACAAACAAAUUCAGCUCAAAAGUUCUACACAACACUGCUGAAACAGCACAGACCUGACAUACAUCUUUUACAAACAGCAGCUAUGCUAUCUUGACUUCACGGAUAAAGGGUAUGACAAGACAAAUCCUGUCCUCUCCUUGGAGAGUAGCGCAGAAGCCUGUAAGGAAGCCCAAAGUGUCUUGUCUUUUUAUCUCAGGCUGUCCAAAAGUUUGGUAUUUACCCAGAACUUCCAGAAAAUGUAUAACCUCAGAGCUUUGAUGUUUAUCAGGACAGAUAUAGAGCACUAACUCACUGUGCCACGAGGUAUAGCGUGACUGAAGCCUGCAAGAAGAUACCCGUUGUCAGAGAUAUUCUCUGAUUGUCUGAAUCGCAUCACAAAGAUGAUGAGGAUAACGGGAAAAAACAUUUUAUGCUUAAUUUUUCCUGAAGAAAUUUAAAUUAUUGGUAACACUUUACAAUAACCAUAAUUUAUAAAUGGAUAGAUAGUUUAUUAAUGUUUAAUCAUCAUUUAAAAACAGCAUAUAGACCAAUUAUAAAUGGCAAAUAGUUUUUAAUGUAAGAUAAUAGUUACUUUGCCAUUAAAAAGCAAUGAAAUUUUGAUCAAUAAUUUUCAUUAAUUAUUUAUAGACUAUCUAUUAAAGGUUUGUAUAGGGUUAAAAUAUUGGUUGUAAAGCAUCUAGAUUAAAAUUUGUGUCAGUAGCACUUUGUAAAUGUUAAUAUUUGGUUUUUAAACCAUCUAUAAACAUUACUUAGAUGUUAUUGUAAAUAGGGUCAGGGUUAGGUUUUUAAAAUUGUAAAAUUUACAAUUUAUUAAUGGUCUAUAUGCUAUUUAUAAAUGAUGAUUACACAUUAAUAAACUAUCUGCUUACCAUUUAUAAAUGUUCUAUUUACCAUUUAUAAAUCAUGAUUAUUGUAAAGUUUUACCAAAUUAUUUAUUUUUAGUUUUUGAAAAGCAUGUUAUUCAAAUUUCAGAUUUUAAACGUGUUGCUAAAUCCCCAAAAGUAUCAUUUAAAUGAAGUGUUGCUAGAAAGUAUUUCAUAAAACAUACAAAGCUGCUUGCAUCUCCAUCUGAGCUGUGUUUCGUUUUUAGUCUAACAUUCACUUCUGACAUUCAUUUUAUGUAUACAGAUUUUUUUUUUUGCAUCCUUUGAAGCCAUCAUUAUAUGACAAGCAUCACUGCAGUAAAUCAAUAUUUCAUUUUAAAGGCUGCUCAUCAUGUCUGUAUUCCUUGAACAUAAUUUCCAUCCUCCUUCUUUUUCAGACUUCAUUAUGACAAAUUUGACAAACUAAAUGCCAUGACCUACAUAUUUCAAUACCUGGCUUCCAUGUAAUUGGUUCUCUUAACUCAUCAAUCAUCAUAGGAGUCUUAGAUUGACAAACAGCCUGAGAUUUCAGUCCUCAGCCCCCCAAAAAGCAGGCCAAAGGGAUACAGGGGAAUUCUGCAUAGCCUCUGGCUAGCUCUCUGCAGAUCUGCGAUGUAUGGCCUGCAUGAUUCACUGAGAUGGGAUGUCUGUGAAAUAGUACAUUAAGGUGUGUCAAGGGAAAUGGGUUUUUAGAUCAAUAGCUUGAAGUAAAAGAGGGUUACAACAGCAGUGUAUGCAGUGCAACCGAUAAGUCAGAGACUGAUUGGAACAUCCUCUCAUGUUUUUCUGUGUCAGUGUUUUCUUAUUUAGGACAGGGCUGCCGAAAAUACAACAAAUUACAGUGGGAGCACGCAUGUUGUCUCUAGCUAUUUAAAUUUCAUUACAACCUCAUUUCAUCAGCCAGUAGUUAUUGUAGUAAUCUUCAUCAGUGAGAAAAAAUGAGAAAAUACUGAACAACAUAGCAAUGGAGGACUGAGUAUCUAUAUCUGUAUCUAAAUCUGCACCAAAGACAAUACACUGUACUUAUGCAUUGUGGAAAUACAACAAUGUUUUUAAAUUUAAUUUUUUUUAAAUGAGUUUGAAAUACAGGAGUUUUUUGGGGGGGUAUUUUCUUUUUAUUUAUUAUCCAGCUUAAGCGAGACAGGAAAAGAUUGUCUGAAGUAGGCCAGGAUGAGACACUCUUGUUUGCAGAGAGCCGUGACCCACCAAGGUGACCUGGUAUCAAAAAUGAAGUACAAAUUGAUUUUAGGAGAUGGAUUUUGGAAGGACAUCCAUGUCAAGCAGUGUGUAAUGUGCAACCUUAAACCCUGCUGGAAAGAGUAGAGUCUAUCAUGGGGGCCAGCUUUCUGUCUGUUUAGAUUGGUAAGUGCUAAGUGCAGAGUCACGUGGUCCCAAAAUCUUCCAACUGUGGCAUGUCGCUCCGCUGAGACGCAACACGAUUGAAUUGAAUCUCUUUCUAUCUGCCAAGAAAAAUAAAUCACCUAAACAGUCCCCAAUACAAUUUUAAACUUGUAUUUUAUUUUAUACUUGAUUUACUUGAUAUUUAAAGUAGCCCGCUAUGUGAAAAACCUCACCGGAUACCUCUGUGCUCAAGAGUUCUGCUAUUUACCUUCACAGUCAUUCCUGCGUGUACACUUUGUGUUUGUACUGCUGCCCACUUCCACUUAAUUCUGCUUUAACUGGUUUCCUCAGUUAAUAGCUGGAGGCGAAGCGUUGGUGUGAGGGAAAACAAUCAUUCUCCUGGACUGCAAUGAUUCAAAUGCAUGGAAUUAGAGUUUUUGAAAAUACAGUUUAAGUGUCAUAUCCUGCAUUGAGUCAUUACUGCUAAUCGACAAAGUACAAAGAGUGAACAACAGAAAAUAGGAUCAGAUUAUUUUCAUGGUAGGAUCAGAAACCCAGGGAUUUACACAUGAAGUAGAAGUUUCCUAUUUAUCCAACAUUCACGAUUACCCCCCCAAAAAUCCUACACUGUGUGGAAAAGGUGAAUAUAAUUAAAGUUACCAACUUAAACUGAUGAGAGACACACGUUUGGAUUUUGGCUCAAGCUCCUCCUCCCACUGAGUUGCUUGCAGCCAUGAUAUUCUUCAGCUCAACUCUGUGCUUUGGUUGGGUAAAUAAAACUUAAGAUUUAUUGUUUUAAGCUUAUUUAUUGCAAAAAAAAAAAAAAAAAAAAAAGCGGCAUGCAGCAGCUCUUAGGCAUUGGAUCCAGUGGUUUGUUCACCCUCCUCAGUGAAAACCAGAUUUGACAGAGGUGUUGAGACAAGAGUGUAUGCUGCAUCCAGACUAGCAGUCUAUGAUUUAUUGUUUUUUUUUUUCUUUUCUUCUUUUUUUUUUGUUGGGCCAUGCAGAUGUUUCCUCAUUUUCCCCCUUUGCCCUUAAUUUAGUGUUCAGAAAACGAGUCCCUCUAUGUGACUGUGCCAUCUGUGUCAUCUAGGAUACAGUCAGUGAUUGAUGACAUCAAGGACUUGACAGUCCUGAGCCCUCUGCUAUUAAGGCCUGCCAUACCCAGAUUUAGUACCCUGCUGAAAUAACUGGCCAUCACAGCUGCCAAUGAAUGUAGGCCAGAAGAAUACAUAAAGAGAGGGUACAUACGUCUCCGUGAGGAAAUCGAUAGCCAGCCUCUCUUGGGUUAGUAAUUUGCCAAAACCUUCAGAACCAAGAAUUUGGUAAAGCAAGGACCCCAUAUACAGAGAUUAUAGUCUUUGAGGUACUGAUUUGACUCACAACCCCAACUUUUGGGUGCAUGUCUGCCUCACUCUCUUCAUCCCACAUUAGCUGUGUCCAUAUAUUUGUCCAGUCUAUUGGACCAUCAGUAUAAAUGCACAUAAAUAGGCCAUUAUUUGUUGCUUACUUUGUUAAGAGGAAAUCAUACAAAUACAUCAACAAUGUAAAAAAGAGUCUAUAAUAAAUACAGCAAAAGACCAUCAAAUAGCAACAGUAAAGGACCGUGAAAACCUGACAUUUCUUUUAUUGCAUUAAAUAUACUGAAUAAGAGUCAAGUGAGUGACCGGAAAGGAAAAAAAAAAGAUUUUUACGGUAAAAAAAGUAAAAAUUAUACAUUUGCUGUGAAAACAAAUAAAUAUGCAUACAUUUCAAAAUAAAAUACUGUAAUAUUAAAAAUAUCUGAAAACCUUAAAUUUUACAGGAUUAUUUGGGCAAAACUAGAGUUUAUGGGGUUGUGCACAUUGACAUUUUCAGUGUAAAUCAUAGACUGUAUAUACUGUGGACAACCUGGUUCCGCCUUCCGCCUGUAUACGGAUUUGAAGCCAAAAAGCUCACGGUAAUUCCGGGUUUUUCUCCACUUCCUUGAAACCAGAGCUGCGCAGUAGCGAUGCGCGUAUUUGGCCGCGCAGUCGCCGAGAGUCCCUGUGAUGACGCUCGGCUCAAACAGCGUAUCCCCCCGGGUGAGCUACGCAAUCCCUGAACACCCAUAGGCUGUACCAGGUGUCAAUCAUAGAAAACAUGAACCCCCUAAUAACUUUUAAAAACGGAGCUGUACAGAAAAAAAAGGACUUGGGCAUAAACCAGUCUUACAAUAACUACAUGUCAACAUCACAAGCAGGGGGGAGAAAAAUUUAUGUUCUGUGUAAUAAAUUUCUAAAGUUUGACCACAGUCCCAUAAACUUUGCUGGCGGAGGCGGGAUUUAUGACCCCACUGCAGCCCACCAUCAGAGGGUGCUGUUCUCAGAGUGGCUUCACCCAGCGAGGAGGCAGACUCUGUCCAUUCUUUAUACAGUCUAUGGUGUAAAUCUGUUGAUUGCUAAGCAAACACAAACCUUCAUUUUUACAGAGGUGAACAUCUUAAAAAUAUGGUCCACUGUAAAAAAAAAAAAAAUCAAUAGCAAGUACUUUUAAAAAAGUGACAAAUAUCAGCAAUUGAAAAAAAUAGAAACUAGAAAUUGUAUCUUAUCAUAAAAACAUUUAAUUUCACAAAAUUUACAAAGCAAAAACAACUGUCAGGAUAACAUAUUUAAACUCAAGGUAAAAACCAAAGAGAAGGUUUCACUUGAUGUGAAUUGUUUUGAGCUGAUGAUUUAUCUGAUUUACAGAUGAUAAAAAAAACCUUAUAAGCACAAGAAUCAGAGAUGGCAGUUGUCACUGACUAUAAAAUACAGCUCUCAAAAAUGCAUCAGCAAAUGUAAAUGAAUUAAAAUAAGCACAAAAACACUAUUGUGCGACUCAUCAAGCCAUUUUCCCUUUCUAAAAAAAAACCUUAACAAAAAAAGCACAGAUAUCAAAAAACCAACAAUAAAGAAGAAGAAAGGAAGGAGGAAAAUACAAUCAUUUUAGACAGAAUUUUUAUGAACAUUUAUUUACCCCUCAGUGGAUGACUUUUACUGUACCUGAAGCCUCACAAAAGCCAACAUAAAUCUUAUUGAGAGGAGUUUGCAGACUUCUGGUCCUUACCAAGAAAAAAUAAUUUUACCAAAGAAGAAAAUUUAGAGUUUAGAGCAUCCAAGGAAAGUCAAAUUCAGUAACUACGUGAAAUUAAAAAGGAUCCGAAUGAAAUAAAACAUAAUAUUAGAUAAACCAAACGUGACCAUGCUUCUAUCACUAUCACAUGACUAGGUCUCCGGGUCUUACCUCAUCCACUUCUGAGUGCAAACGGCCGUGAUCAGCAACUGUUUGCUCCAUCAGAGUUAAUGAGCAGGAUCUGUUGUGCUUGAGCUCCUCAAAAUGAGCCUACCUCCAGGAACUGAUCAACACAUUUGGGUGGGAUCAUAUAUGCUAAGUCCCUCCACAUCUUAUUUGUUCAAUAAAUGGCUCAGAGGCCAGAGAGGACCUACACCAUUCAUUUGUCACCCAGCAAAUGACUGACCCUUAAAGUGCUGAGAGAGCUGGAAGGCAAAGUGAAUGCCCGACUGCAAUUGCGUUCUGAUAAUGGAUAGUUGGAAGGAGAUAUCCAUAAAGAGUGUCAGGGAUGACGGGAGAGGAGGGCAGGGAGGGAGUCUGGCCAAUCCUGGAGGUUGUACAGUACAGAUGACACCAGCUUUCUCCUCAAUCCCCUCUACAAGUGCUGGAUCAGUAUUCCUGGAAAGCUUUGCUUCUGCUUCCAGUUGGUGUAAACGCCUUUGUACGUAACUGUUGUUUUCUGUAAUUGGAGUGUGCCCGGUGAUGGAGGAUUUACUGGUGUGCCAAUAACAGGUGACUGAAGAUAGAUCAGGGCUGGCAGAGCGGCAGCAAAUUGUUGUUGUGCUUCAGUGACGGGGCAGUUUGUUAUCCGCUGACCACUUGCCAAAGCUGGCUUGCUGCCAGCGCAAGGACUCUAGCAAAGGUAAUGUCAGCCGACAGUGAUGAAGAGCAGGAAAGGGGAAUUGAAUGGGUCUAAGGCACAAAGUAGAUGGUGAGGGACAAGGGACGAUAAAAACUCUUUGAGCUGAGAAAGUGCCGAAAGAUUUUUAUCAGAUGUGGUCAGGAUUUUGAAUGCUCUUGGAAUUCCACCAGAAACCACAAUAAAUAACUGAAUUAGCGAUUUAAUUAAGCGGACAUCAACUUUCAAAGCUCUUCGAAAAGUGUUAUCUUUCCUAAAAAUGUACAACUGAGACUGGAUUUUAAUCUAGCCAAAAUGUUUGAGAGCAUCUCCAAAAUGUGUUUUAAAGGCAAACUUUAUCAGUGCAGCAUUUACUUCAACAACACAUCUAAUACAUCUAAUUUAUUGCAUCCAAGCAAGACACUGGAAAUUAUUGUUUUGUAUUUAAAAAAAAGUGUUGAAAUGAAAAUAAUGGGUUUUCAGACAUGCAGUGAAAAUCUUGUUUGGUCCACUGGUUUUUGAAAGUUAAUAGAUUGACUUUUGAAAUUCUUCCAAAAGGAAAAAGUAUUAUUAACAAGUUUGUCCUUAAAUCUGACAGUAAAGACAGACUUUCUUAUGAUGAUUUAAUCUGGAAGAGAAAACCUGGAGGAGAGCCAUUAGUGAAUAACAGAUCGCCUGAAAGGACACAGGGACAGCAGCUGCUGUGGUUUUACUAGGACACUGGGACACUCUUUAAUUCAUAGUCAGCUACUGUAAUAAAUAUUAACUCUCAUUUAAACUCCAGAGAUUAUUGCAGGGCAACCCUUAUUUUCAUAUUUUGAAAUGGAGUUUAAUUAAACACAGAUAUAAAGGUUUAAAAAUAUAUUCAAAAAGUGCACUGUCAUCAAUUUGCUGUCAUAACUUGUUCAAUGAGUCAUAUGUAGAAAAACCAUGAGGGACAUGCCUGUGUAACUGACGUCACUCCAUGUGACAUCUAAAAUCUGUAUUCACUAAGCUGAAUGAAUAUAGCAUUGUCAUUGUGGAUCUCUCUUUGCCCUUUAAUUUUAGCAUUCAAUGCUUUUUAAGUCAGCCGUAAAUGUUGAAUUCCAGGCUUGGUCUCAUCCUGAUGUUUGCAAAAGAAAGUAUCUCUACAUGCCAUUAGCUGGGCCAUGUGAGCAAAACAACAACUCGAAAAACAAGCUUAACUUCUCCUUCUGUCAUUUGAAUAACAAUGACCUCUAACAUGACACUAAAAGAAAAGAUCUGGACUAAAUCUAAGAUAAGAUAAGAAAAAAUAAGAUAAAGUAUGAUAUGAUAUGAUGAGAUAAGAUAUGAUAUGAUAUGAUAUAGAGAUAAGAUAUUAUAUGAUCUGAUGAGAUAUGAUCUGAUGAGAUAAGGUAAGAUAUGAUAUAAUGAGAUAUGAGAUAUGAAAUGAUGAGAUAUGAUAAGAUAUUAUAUAAGAUAAAAUAAUAUAUGAUAAGAAAUGAUAUAUGGUUGAGGAGAUGAGAUAUAAUGAGAUAUGAUAAGACACGAUAUGAUGUGAUGAGAUAUGAUAAGACGAGAAGAUUAGAUAAGAUAUAAGAUAAGACAAAAUAAUAUAUGAUAAGAAAUGAUAUAUAAUAUGAUAUGAUGAGAUGAGAUAUGAUAUAAUGAGAUAUAAGAUAAGAUAUGAUGAAAUAUAUGAUAUGAUGAAAUAUGAUAAGAUAAAAUAAUAUAUGAUAAGAAAUGAUAUAUAAUAUGAUAUGAUAUGAAAAACUUCAACUAUCCCCGAGGGGAAAUCCAGUAUCUUGGUUAUUAUGAACUGCUGCAUGUACACAGAUCCAGCCCUAGCUAUUUUUAUGACUCCCAGAGUGAGUUGAGGAGUUGAAAAGUCGAAGAAAGGGGUUGGGAGAUUGAUGUGCGUCAUCAGCAGGUCAGAAAUCUAUAUACAGCACCAGGAACACAUUGAAAAAACCCCAUGACACCCAGAUUUUACACCUAGUCUAGCAUGUGAAAAUCUGAAUCGUGCAGCAGUCCAGCUGAUUAAAAUGGAACACCUCUAUUCACAUGUUCAGUCAGCAGCCAGAUUUUACUCAAAUGUAUAAUUAAUGCUAGAGGAAGAGUGAUAAUGCAAGGCUGCCUGUGAUGACUUACUGCAAGAACUAAUCUUUUUGUUUGUCUGUUUUCAUCAGCGCUAGUCACCUAUCCCCAUCCAGACAGAUGUACACAAAUAACAUUUUUAUUAUACUUUACCCUGACAUUUUUAUCAUACUAUAAUAUAUUUUUCUCACACUAUGGUAUAUUUUUUUCAUUCUAAAAAAAUGAAAUUUUUAUCAUCAUAUACUAUGAAAUUUUUAUCUUACUAUAUUAUAUUUUUCCAUUCUAAUAAUGUGAUAUUUUUGUAUUUUUGGGAAGAGAGAGAGCAGCACAACUAACAAAUGAAAACAGAAAGAACAAUAAGCACAGCAAAUUAUCAAAUUAUAAAAAAACUAAAGUAAAAUUCACAGCUUGUUUGGAAUAUGUUUUGGAAGAUGCCUCUAUCAAUUAAAAAGCUAAGCUGAAAAAAAGCCUAUUGAUUAGAUGAGUGCUGUUGGGCUACAGCAAAAUGAUAUCUUAAAUCUGCUUAACAUCAAAAGAAUUUUAGCACUGUCAUUACAAGAAGUUUCCUUUUCACUCCAAUGACAACUUUGUGUCACCAAAAAGACUAAGAGAGCUGCCCUAUUGAAUGUAUCCAAAUAAAAGGUCUGUUGUGGUUUAAAGCAAAGUAGAGUAUUGGAUUUUAAGUUCACUUGUGGUAUUUAUUCAGACUCUAGGCCCAUUUUAAAAGAUGCAUAGUCUGAAGCACAUUGCUCAAAGUGAAUUAAGGCACAUAGAGGUUUUUUGUGAUGUUAUUUUUGUGUGUGUGUGUGUGUGUGUGUGUGUGUGUGUGUGUGUGUGUGUGUGUGUGUGUGUGUGUGUGUGUGUGUGUGUGUGUGUGAAAACCAACUAUCUGUUUCCCAAAGAGCAAACAACUUCAGUCAAAAACUUCAAAAGACUUCUGUGAGGGUCGUUUUCAAAUGACUCUUAGAAAUAUGAGAAAUUCAGGAGGUAGCUCAAGGACAACUGUCAGAGCAUAAAUUUCAGCUCUUAAUAGAAAAGUCAUUCUUGGCAUAUACCCAGCGUCAUUGGCUGAUGUAUUAACGGGCAUUAGGACAGGAGGAUCCGAUGCACAUUCCCUCUUAAAUCAGUGAGGGCAACAAGUUUCUGUAGCUAAAUCAUGACAAACAUCUUUAUCUCUAAACCAAAUGUUUUAGCAUUACAUCAUAUCCACUAAUGCACCUUCAGAGUGAGCUGAAAGGAAACUCGCUUUUGAUGCAGGUGGAUUGGCUCUUUUUCUAUUGAUCAUGAGGGAAUAAUUGGGGUUUGCUCAAAGCUCAUUUAACCAGCCACAUAUGGCUCACUAGAUGACAUUGCAGCACUUCUAAUUCAACCUCCAUAACUUCCACAAUGUCUGUAUCUCUGUAUAAGAAAAUCACUGAACUCUGCAGUGCACUAAUUACCAAAAAUACAGUUAAAACGUGCUGCAGAUUUUCAAUCAAUAAGCACCUGCUACCUACCUUGGGAUCAAGCCCUGCAGAUGAAUUGCUCCUACUAAAAGCAAAUUCCUGCUCUUAUAAGAAAAACACCUAAGGUUGUGUGCAUCAUGAAAUGAGAGUUUUCAAUUAUUUUCCAAUGACUUCUUGUUUUAAGUUAUUUUCCACUUAAAUUAGAUACAACAGUUGUUACCCUAUUACAUCUCAGACAAAGAAACUGCUAAAGAGGCCAGGCUGUUGUAAAAUAGAGCACUUGCUGUUACCAUGGUAACCAUGCAAUAUUUCCAAAGUUAUUCAGGUCUGAAAUCUCGAGGUUUACAGCUUCAGGCUUGUGUCAAUGUAAUAGGCACCUGCUGCACAAUUGUCUCUAAAUAAGUGUCAAUAAAGCAAUAACUAAAAAGGCAAAUCCCUCGCUUUCUUGGCAGGCCCCAGUGUGAAGUAUAUGAGGAAGGUGUGGCCUGCUGACACAUGUACAAUAAAUGAAGGGAUAGCACACUGAAAGUAUGGUAUAACCUGGGAAUGAAAAAUCAGCAACACUUUCAAAUUGUGAAAUAAACAGAUAUUUCAUGGAAAAUUUGCCAUGUGAAUUAUUACACACACACACAGAUACUCUCUCUCUCUCUCUCUCUCUCGCUCUCUCUCUCUCUCUCUCUCUCUCACACACACACACCUUCACGCACACACACUAUGCUAUUUUUUAUAUUAGCACUUUACUGAGGAUCUCCCUAAAACUUUGAGGAAAGCCUUUAGACAGUGUCUGAAGGCCAUUACAGUGAAGAAAAAGUGAGGACCAGCCUAAAUGUCCUCACUUCUGUAUUUGGACCUCGCUCAGAAGGUUACAAACUUGAUGAUGGUCCUCACAAGUAUAGCUGGACAAAUAUAUACACACACACACUCUAAUUAUCUCAAUAUAUUUGUUUGUGCGCCAAAUUUGAGGUUCUACGUGUGGCACUUUGCAUAUUUUCUCUGGCAAAUCUGCCACACUGGACCACUAUCUAAUCCCACAUAAUUAUCAAAGGAAUCAUGAGUCCCUAUCAUGCAUAUCCAUAGCUAUAAAAACUGGUUUUAUUCAAACCAGAGUGUAGAUUGCUUCUUGAAAUAUAUACAGAAUUCAAAUAUUCUUUCAGUGUGCUGGCAGAGGGGAGAAAAUAUAAGUCAACAUAAAUGAGCAUGCAUCUCCUGAGAAAAGCCAUAGGAGACUCAGCACCUGCUAUGGGAGGCCUUUCUAAAUGCCUUGAUAAACAACAGUCAGCUGGGGAGAUUUAAGGUGAAGAUAUAUUUCCCAGAGAAGCCAAAUCAAAUAUAAAUGUAACUUUAGUCCAAAUAGCAGCAAUAAGUAUUGAAAAGUUAUGGUAGCCAUCAGGGCUGUUGGGAUAUACUGGUAUUGACAGUAACCUUUGUCAAUAUCAAAAUAGUAGCAUCAGAGAAAAGAAAAAAUAAACACUAAUGAUAUGGUGCUAAAAUUAAACAUAAAGUAAUACUGUUUGACUAAAGGGUUUAUAAUCAGGGCCAAACACCAAGGGUGGGAGAGCCGUAUUAAAACCCCAGGGAUUACUACAAUUAUUAUUAAACUUUAUGCCAAAACAACUUCUCUUUUGGAGGCCCAGAAAUGUGUGAAAACUUACAAUUUUUGGCACAAACAUCAGAAGUGCUUGAACUUUAACUAUUUUAAUGCUCGCACAAAAAAUGCCAGAAGUUUUCAAAUAGCCCUUCCCAUAGAGGUUCCUUGAAAUGUUUUGUCAUUUAUGUAUCGAGCAAAAACCCACAAAAAAUCAUUCCUACCCAAACCCAACAGGAGGUCAGCAAAUUUGAAUUGAGAGUCAAAAUCGGUCUUAUUUUUGGUUAAUUUUAGGUUGUCUAUUUGAAAUCACACGUCAUGGGUUUGAUCCUAUCAUCUGCAGAUUUGCACAGUGUGUUAUUGACAGAAUACUAAGCCAAAUGCACCACACAUAAUAAGAGUCCCCCGGGGGGCACAAGGAAAUAUCAUGCUAAACUCUGCAAGUUGUUACUCCAAGGCCAUGAAAUAUAGCUGCGCAGAAUAACCUUGAGAAGUUGGUCAUCAUGUGUGCCAAAAACUGAGUCUUCCAGUCCCAUUGCUUGCUUUUACUGUUAAAUAAAAAAAAAACUUUAAGAGUGUCAGAGUGGUCAGUGGGGCCCAAUCCAUUACUAGAAAGUGUUGGCUGGAUAGGAGGAAGAGAUAGUUGCUUAGGGAAAGGGGCUGGACAGAGAAUGGGCAGAAGUAGGGGUGGGGGAGGGCAGCACUUAAAUAGCUGCUUAUUAGGCUCACCUCCCAGCAGCUGACUUACAGAGAUUGGAUUGGAAAGCAUGUCCUUGAGAGGUCGGAAUCACAAUAAGCCCGAAUUGAAAGUACCUCUAAUGUGCAGAUCAAAGACAGCCGGGCAGUGCUGACAUGGACCUAUCAGCCAUAGGUGGAGUCCUCCUCUUCCUCACAAGAUAAAUGGAAAUGGCAGGGCUAGGUCUUGUAUCUAACAUGUUGGAAGGUCCCACUCAUGGAAAGUCUGCGUUUUGGAUGAAGGGUAGAAAUAAUUUCUUGGACAGAUCCUUUGUUGAGAUUUAAAACGGUAUUAAUAAAGAAAAUUUGAACUCAGACAUAAGUUGCAUGGAGAAAAAGAGACAAUGCUACUUUUACGUAGCAUAACAUAUCUACAUAUUUCAUCAUGUUUUAUUGAAGAUUGCAGAUUACACACAUUGCUGCAUCUCUUCUAUUCACAAUACUGUUGUCAUGUUUCAUUUUUUUUUAAGCAUCACAAUCAAUCAGUCAUAAUAUGAUGAGACCAUUUACUGUAGAAAGUCCACUUAAGCAGACUCAUGACCAAAACCCUGUCAGACUGAAAUAAUCAUAAAUAAAAAGCUUGCAUCAGACUAAUGUUAUUGCAACCUGCUCUCCUGCCUGUGACAGUAUAUCUGUGGUGUAAUGUGUUAAUGCACCUUCGCUAAUUUAUGCUGGUUAUUUUGGUCUUGCGUUUAAAUGGAGGCACACACACAUUUUAUGUGUCAUUCUCACACCUGAGUACCCCCUUAAAUAAUUUUCUAUGGCUUCUCUGGGUUCCCUCUGGGAGAGUGGUAGCAAACCUUCAGCAUGACAAGUUUAUAGGAUCAGCAUUAUCGUACACUAAAUUUCAGUAUUACUACAAGAUCACAGCCAGCAUUAAAUUAGAAUGACAGGUUGCCCUGCCUAGGUUAUUAGGAUGGUGGUGGACCACAGGGUAUACACUACAGUGUAUAAUGUGAAACACAUUGAGAUGGAGCUACACUUAUGUACAUCUCAAAAAAAAAAAAAAAAAUUUGAGAGAGGUAAUUUUUAGUAACUUUAUCCAAAAAGAUAAUAUUUUAUUUAUUCUUAUAUUUGUGACAUAUGUGAAACCUUUUUCUUUAUUUUUAUUUUAUAGUGGCAGAAGACUGUCUUACAUGAUUCUGGUUCUGCUUAAGGUUUCUGCCUGUAAAAAGGAAGUUUUUCCUUGCCAAUGUAAAUGCUGUAAGUGCUACACUCAUGAUUGAAGAUGGGAUGGUAGUGGGUCUGAUCUUAAAUGACUUGGCCCAAUCUAAUCACAACUUUACAUUGGGUCUUUGUAAAUAGAGUAUGGUCUUUUUGUUGUUGAGUGUCUUGGGAUAAUACUGGUUGUGAAUAGGUGCUAUAAAGAUUGUUUGAUUUUUAAAGCUUGUGAAAAUCAGAAAUUCAGUAUCUCAUAUAUUGUUUUCUAAGAUCAGUCAAAAAAGGGACAAUUUUCCAGUAUAGAUGGUCCAAAUGUGAAAGAGGGCUUACAAAGGUAAAAAAAAAUGGCUAGGGGGUAGGGAUCCAUAGGUGAGGCCUGUGGGGGCCCAUAAUUUUCUUCAACGUCCCUGCAGAACCAUGGUUAGUACUUUUGUAUGGGUUUCUUGAUUCUCUCCAGUGUGGCAUUAAUGAAGUCAGCCUCUGGCACUGCUGAAGUUGCUUAGUGAUCUUCAGCUCAUCUGUGUCCUUGAGAUUGAUCUCCCUCAUCUUUUUCUUCACAAAUACCCUUCUUACCUCUCUAUGAAAUUUAUGUCAGGAAAAGCUGCUAGCCAAACAAGUCCAGUAAUAUCGUCAAACCAUUUGGUAGGAGUUUUGGCACUGUAGGCAGGUACUGAGUCUGACUGGAGAAGGACAUUGCUGCUGUUAACUCUACUCGUAUAAGACUGUGUUGGUUUUGGUCUUAUUAAAACACAAUGGACCAACACCAUAGAAGAUAACAUGGCUCCCAAAAUCAUCACAGACGGCAGAAACUCUAAUUUGGAUUUAUAACACCUUGGAUUAUGUCUCUCAACUCCUCCUACUCAUUCUAGAGCCUUGAUUUCCAAAUAACAUAACACAUUAGCUUUCAUCUGAAAGGGUGACUUUAAAACACUGACCACCGGGCUGGUUUUAUUUUUCUUUGUCUAACUGUACUCUGCCUGAAAAGCCCCUCGCCACAUGAAUCAAUAUCAUUUCCUAAAAAUUAAAGGUUAAAGAUAGAGGUGAUGUGAAUAGGCUCUUUGUUCACUGCAUAAGUGUUAACUGUGCACAGGUUGAUUCAUCAUGUUGUGUUGUAAAUGCAGAAAAAAGAGCUCACUCCACUUAUCCAACUUCAUAAAACAGUUUGAAGUUUUCUUUGCAUUAAAUAAAGGUUAAUGUACUGUUUAUAAAGUUAUAAGCUUAGGGUUAGGAGUCGAUUCCCAGGGGGUUUCUUCAAUCUAUCCCAUGCUCACAGCCCAUACAUUCACAUAUAUUUCAUAGCUAUCCUGUCUCAUGUGAACAUUGAAUUUUACAGCCCUAUGUAUGUCCCAGAGCAGCAUGAUAUAUCGCUGCUGUAAACUGGUUCUAUCAGGGGAAAAAGUCGUAUAUGGCCAUGGAGCAAAGGCAUGUCAUGGCUGACUCCCACAUGCUACACUCACCCAUUUCCAUGCAUAUUAUUACUUUGUUGGGGCUGACCCUGGUUUUUAUAGCUUGAAUAGGAAUUUAGAUGAAGCUGGUCUGAAUACUGAUGUGCCAAUGGACUCAUACUAUGUGGACACUAAGAUUUUACUCACUGUGUAUUCAAACAUAAAGCUAGCAUGAUUGUAUACUUAAUAAAUGGGUGACAUGAGGGAGAUGUGAGUCCUGCCACUUCAUAACAAACUUGUAUUCAGACUCCUGAGGUAUUAUUUUAAGGAAAACGCAGCACUGGCUCUUACAAAGUCCACAUGUACACAUUUACUGUUUAUAGUGAAACAGCAACAAAACACAGUUAUUUCAUUGCACAGAGGGCUAUGAUCUUAGAGCAAGCACACACAAAGGAAAUUCACAUAUCAUAUACAAGAGCAGCUCUGUAUUGACUAUAUCAUAAGAGCCAGAUUUCAAAAUCAAUAAGGAAUAAGGUGAUGGCUACUGAGAUGAUAUUUACAGGGCAUUGGAUAAUUAAAGUAAUAACUACGCCCCAUGCUUUCACCUGUUGUCAAAAUGAUAUGGCGAAAUUGCGGCAGACAAGGGACGAAAAGAUCGAUUUCACAAAGAGUGAGGGGCUCAUGACUUAAUAUUCUGUGGUCUUUUUACAGGUAUUAGCAACAGGUGCAAAAUAACUUUGUGGCACUGUGUCACAGAUAAUGUGGCUGGCUCACGGUCAUGCACGAAAAUUAUCAGGUAUCAAAGUCAAUGUAAAACAAAAGGAUCCUGUGCAACCAUAGAGUGUCAUGGCCACAGGUGGGAGCCCAGGGAGGCCCGAGCUGACACCUUAUGACAAAAGGUUUGCCGCACUAUUUGGAGAGGCAUCUCUUUCUGGCAGUCAUUCAGGCAUAUGUGCUAUUACUGCUGACAACAUUAAAUACAGCAUGACAUUUUUGCUAAAUUCACAAACCUCUGAGAACAAACCAUACACCUGUUAAUUAUGCUACAAUUAACCUUAAUGAACAAUAAAUAGGCUGGAUACUGAGUUCCACAAAGCAACGUCAUCUGUUGUCAGACUGAAAAUAGAGAGUGAAGGGGCAUUCGAAGGGGAAAACACCUGUUGUGAAUUGGUGCUCUAUAAACAAAGAUCCAUUGCUUUCUCUUAGUGCUUUGCAUCUUUUCUCCUAAUUUUUUUAUUUUAUUAUAUUAUAUAAUAUGGUAACACUUUAAUUGACACCUAUCUCUGUAACGCAUUAUUUAUAUAUGGGUAACACUUCACAAUAACCAUAAGUUAUAAAUGGUAAAUAGACCAUAUAAAUGGUAAGCAGAUAGUUUAUUAAUGUUUAAUCAUCAUUUAUAAAUAGCAUACAGACCAUUAAUACAUUGCAAAUUUUACUAUUUUAAAAACCUAACCCUAACUUUACAAUAACCAUCUAAGUAAUGUUUAUAGGUGGUUUAUAAAACACUUAUUAAUCAUUUACAAAGUGCUACUGACACACAUUUUAAUCUAGAUGUUUUACAACCAAUAUUUAAACCCUAUAUAAACCUUUAAUAAAUAGUCCAUUAAUAAUUAAUGAAAAUUAUUAAUCAUAAUUUCAUUGCAUGUUAAUGGUAAAGUAACCAUUAACAUACAUUAAUAAACUAUCUAUUUGCCAUUUAUACACCAUGGUUAUUGUACAGUGUUACCAAUAUAUGUAUAAUGUGUUAUAAUCACAUUAUAGCACUGUAUAACUAUAGUUAUAAACACUCAUAAAUGAUCAUAAUAGUUUAUAGCAAUAAUCAUAACACAUUAUAUACAGUUAUAACACAUUAUAAUACCUGACCUUGUAAGUCAUGAUAAAAUGCUUUACAAUGUGUUAUGAUUGUUGCUUUAAAGCAUUAUGAUCAUUUAUGAGUGUUUAUAACUAUAGUUAUACAGUGCUAUUACGUGAUUAUAAUGCAUUAUACAUGUUAUAGAGAUAGGCAUUAAAUAAAGUGUUACUUUUUUAUGUGAACCUGUGUUUUUUCUUUGCUCAAGUUUUCCUGUUUACCUCCCUGCCUUCCAAGUGCCAGGGUUUUUCCAAUAGUUUUCUCAAUGGGGGUUUUCUUGCCGGCCAGAUUCCAGUUUCCACUGCUUGUCUUUCGUUUUUGCGAUAAACUCUUUAAACACACAAACCCUGUGAGUCCCUGCAUUGAAGUCCGAUCAACUCAAAACUUAACACUUGCCUCACACCACUUACAUAUCAAAAUAGAUCAUAUUGAAUGAGUCUCAUUACUGUGUUCAUAAAAAAACUCAACUAUAAUUACCCAUGCACCUUUACACAGUGGAUCUCCAUGGUGGAUUGAUUGUUAGUGUGGUUUAAAGGUCAAAUGCAUAAAAAAGGUUGUGUAAUCUUCUUCUGAAAUAUUAAUUGCAUCCUUGACCAGACCCUGCUUCUGCAGGUGCUGAUGAAUAGAAAGCUGAACAAGCAGGUGAUGGUUUUAAAGAAGAGUGUCCUUGCAGGGAUUCUUUAUUUAUCCUGAUGGAUAUUUGUACUUUAAAAUCUUAUCAGUCAUACGUCAUUGAACAGCACAUUACAUAGUUAGACUUAGUUAUCCAAAUGCAAUGAUUUGUAGUUAUGAAAACUAAAAAUGUUGUCAUGAAGACCUAACAGACAAAAGCAAAUAAAGAGUUUGUGUGAAUGUGAUCGCUGCGCCACAUUUACACCAGAAACCCGAGGAUCUAGAUGUAUUCAGGAUUUUGCAUCAAAUUCAUCUCAAAGUGUAUUUCUUAUGGUGACUGUAAGAGGUAAUAUUUUGUAUUGCCACCUUUGUUAAAUAUUUGAAAGAAUGGCUAACACUAUUGUUUUUUGCUAAAUGGCAUUUUGUGUUAUUGGCUUUAUAUUUGUGCCCCUCUCCCAAAAAGAAAUGUCUUUACUUUGCUGCAGCUUAGGUAUUAAACAGCUCUGAACCUUUGGGAGAAACAGAAAACACAGCAAUAAGAAAACAACAGAGGCUGAAAAGUAAAAGUGACUGUCUUUUCCCUCCCACCACUACAAUCCCCCGAAUCGUAAUCAUCAUGACAGAGUCAAGACUCUGUCAAACAGGUCACUUUAUAUGGCAGCACUACAAGGAAAACUCACAGUAGAAGGGACAGGAAAAUUAUCAAGACAGCAAGAUUUUUUUCCUGGGCACUGCUGUGGCAAAAAGUGUCCUAAAAGUAUUAAAUAUGAACCAUCCCUUUGGGCAAACUGAUUUAAGCAAUAUCAUGUCACACAUUUAACAUUUUGGGUCAUGAGCUUUUGGUCAUAUUGUGAAAACAUGACAUGCUGGUGAGUCAUGAUUUGUUGUGAACAAACAUCUCUGAACCAAUACAGGAAAUAUCAGAGAGUAAAAGACACCAUUUUAGAGCUCGCACUACUGUCCUAUUUUGUUUUUCUUAAAUCCAACAAGUCCUGUUUUACUCUUUGGGUAACUUAUAGAUUUUCAUAAUUUAGGGACUUGUCAUAAAAUGCACUAUAAUAGCACACACUAACUCAACCAACUCAAACCUGUCCUUCUUUUUCAGUCUUUGGGUGUCCUGAGAGUCACAGGUAUAACUCAAAUACGAUAUGGUCUCACUAUUAUCUGCUCUGGCUGUCCAGCAUGAAAGAUGUUGGAAGAAAGAGUUCUAUGGACUGAUACCCUGUGACUGAGAAAGGAAGAAAAACCUCACUAAAGGGGUGUUCAAAGGGUGCUAAGAAAUACCUUCCUAUGUAUUAGCAAGAAGAAAAUAAUAGCAAAAUAACCAGACACUAGAAAAAUAAAACCCACUUUGUGUGAGAAAGAAUCAAAACACCCAAGAGUGGAUGCUAAGGGGAUUUAGUAACUAACUAGACCAGCCCAAAUGUUAGACAAGACAAAAACAAACAGUCCUCCCAAAGAACUCCCUUUUUAUUAGCAACAUUUUUUAUUAGCAUCACUUCGGUGCACCUUUCUGACAUGUUUUUACACCUCCCUAAAACAAUAUAAGGCUGAACUAAGGAGCUGGAGCUGUACUACCAAACACUUCUGAUACCAGCCGGAGCUGGGGUCUAUCAGGUCAGUACACAGCAAGAAAUAGCAGCAAACCCCCUCUAACAAACCAACUAUAACCUUUCUGCCAAACUACUCAGAUACAUGUGACUAAUUUCCUUGACAAAUUAGCUCACACCUGAAUACCUGAUGCUGGGAGAGGUUUGGAACAGGGCAGGUGGUACUACAAUUAACAAAAGAAUAACACCGGAGGGUUACAUGGGGGGUUUGGCUGAAUGCCAUAUCACUGAGUCUUAACUCAUGAGCCUUUUGUAACUAUUUUUUUUGCCUCAGUUCUUUCACAGUUUGCAAAUUUAUUAAGUUAGAUGCAGAUUUUGUUUAUCAGCCAUAAAACAGUUACAAUAAAUUAUUACUCUCUCAGCUGUUUUUAUAUAUUUUCCAGCAUCAAUGAGCCCAUAAUCAGGAUGACAGCAGUUUAAGUCUUUGUAAUACUGUCAGACAUCUCUGUUUUUCUCACCAGCCGUCUGUUCUGCCAGCACAACACAACAACAAUACUAAAACAGCUUGGCACUACAGGGUGCAGCCAACUCUCAGCGAAACACAAAACAGCACUGCUCCUGACAUCCGACUGGAAAGUUCCUGAAUCUGUGGAUACAACGAGAAUGACUCAAAGAACAUCACAACACCUACAGAGUGCUGUUGUAAACCUGUCUUAGCAUCAUGACUGUUACCUCCACCUGUAGGUUAAAACAAUGCUUUGCAUGAAAAGAAAGUGCAAGUGAUUAAUCCAACCAUGUUUGCUUUUUCUUCCAUGCACAGAUGGGAGCACAGAUUUUUUUAUCCAUAGAGUCAAGAUGGUUGCCAGUGUGAAUAUGGAUUUCAUGUAGGCUUCAUCGUUAAUCUUGAUGUCAACAAAGAAAUCUACACCUGACUCACCACAUAUAUCCAUACUGACUCUCAAUGUAUAAAUGUAAAGAAACAAGAAUCACGUCUUCUCACAUACUUAUUCUGUUUUUGUGCAGUACAGCGAAACUGUUCUUGAUAAAUGAGAAAAUCAUAUGAAUCUGCAUCACUAUAGCAACCACAUGAUGAUUUAAGAACAUACUUAUGGGCUCUUUUUAUCCUAAAGCUGCACAAUAUUUGCAACAGCUAACAUGACAUUUGCAGAUAAACAGAUUGACAUUUUUUCAAUAGCUGCAUAUAACUUACCAGAGAGAACAGCUGUGCUCAUUUAAAUAGGAAUCACAGUGGGAUCAUUAGAGCAAUGAUGUCCUUGCAACAUAAAGGAGAUUGAUCAUUUGAGAUACCUGUCCCUUUAAGAGAGAGAUCAGAUUUACUACAAAAUGUGUAUAUAGACAUGUGUAUAUAAACAGUACAUGUUGUAUCCAGUAUAUUGUCUGUAUGCUAACUCUGGCAUAGUUACUUUGAUGCUUAUGUUAAUAGGUUGAUCAAUGUGCAUUGUUCUAAUCAAAUAAAUAA